Molecule: ribosomal RNA, 484 nt
Filed under: uncultured bacterium
Lineage: Bacteria
Description: partial 16S ribosomal RNA
Rfam family: Bacterial small subunit ribosomal RNA
Source: RNAcentral
AUUGAACGCUGGCGGCAGGCCUAACACAUGCAAGUCGAGCGGAUGAAGGGGGCUUGCUCCUGGAUUCAGCGGCGGACGGGUGAGUAAUGCCUAGGAAUCUGCCUGGUAGUGGGGGAUAACGUCCGGAAACGGGCGCUAAUACCGCAUACGUCCUGAGGGAGAAAGUGGGGGAUCUUCGGACCUCACGCUAUCAGAUGAGCCUAGGUCGGAUUAGCUAGUUGGUGGGGUAAAGGCCUACCAAGGCGACGAUCCGUAACUGGUCUGAGAGGAUGAUCAGUCACACUGGAACUGAGACACGGUCCAGACUCCUACGGGAGGCAGCAGUGGGGAAUAUUGGACAAUGGGCGAAAGCCUGAUCCAGCCAUGCCGCGUGUGUGAAGAAGGUCUUCGGAUUGUAAAGCACUUUAAGUUGGAAGGAAGGGCAGUAAGUUAAUACCUUGCUGUUUUGACGUUACCAACAGAAUAAGCACCGGCUAACUUCGUG